GUGGUGGCCUGCGCCCGGAGGCGGUCGAGGAGUAUACUAAGAACGAACUUGCGCGUGAGGGCGAACUUGUAGAAGUUAGUGGGGUGGAGGACGGUGACCAAAUUGCGACGGAGGACGCGCCAAAGGGGACCGUAGAAGCUGGUACUGAUUUCAUGUUGGUUGCUGCUAAUAUAGAGCUCAGGAUCAACAGCGAGAGGACGGUUUGCGAAUGAAGCGCCUUUCUGGACGAGGGCCUCGUGGGCAAGGCGGCGGUCGGAAAUCAUAAUGGCGGGUUGCGAUGUUAU
RNAcentral lists this unclassified non-coding RNA (284 nucleotides) under Hevea brasiliensis (rubber tree). The record is from RNAcentral. Lineage: Eukaryota; Viridiplantae; Streptophyta; Magnoliopsida; Malpighiales; Euphorbiaceae.